This 880-nucleotide ribosomal RNA is filed under the name Bacillus paralicheniformis. RNAcentral's name for it is "bacterial SSU rRNA". It matches the Rfam family "Bacterial small subunit ribosomal RNA", at positions 53 to 914 of the family's 1533-position model. Lineage: Bacteria; Bacillati; Bacillota; Bacilli; Caryophanales; Bacillaceae. The record is from RNAcentral.
ACAUGCAAGUCGAGCGGACCGACGGGAGCUUGCUCCCUUAGGUCAGCGGCGGACGGGUGAGUAACACGUGGGUAACCUGCCUGUAAGACUGGGAUAACUCCGGGAAACCGGGGCUAAUACCGGAUGCUUGAUUGAACCGCAUGGUUCAAUCAUAAAAGGUGGCUUUUAGCUACCACUUGCAGAUGGACCCGCGGCGCAUUAGCUAGUUGGUGAGGUAACGGCUCACCAAGGCGACGAUGCGUAGCCGACCUGAGAGGGUGAUCGGCCACACUGGGACUGAGACACGGCCCAGACUCCUACGGGAGGCAGCAGUAGGGAAUCUUCCGCAAUGGACGAAAGUCUGACGGAGCAACGCCGCGUGAGUGAUGAAGGUUUUCGGAUCGUAAAACUCUGUUGUUAGGGAAGAACAAGUACCGUUCGAAUAGGGCGGCACCUUGACGGUACCUAACCAGAAAGCCACGGCUAACUACGUGCCAGCAGCCGCGGUAAUACGUAGGUGGCAAGCGUUGUCCGGAAUUAUUGGGCGUAAAGCGCGCGCAGGCGGUUUCUUAAGUCUGAUGUGAAAGCCCCCGGCUCAACCGGGGAGGGUCAUUGGAAACUGGGGAACUUGAGUGCAGAAGAGGAGAGUGGAAUUCCACGUGUAGCGGUGAAAUGCGUAGAGAUGUGGAGGAACACCAGUGGCGAAGGCGACUCUCUGGUCUGUAACUGACGCUGAGGCGCGAAAGCGUGGGGAGCGAACAGGAUUAGAUACCCUGGUAGUCCACGCCGUAAACGAUGAGUGCUAAGUGUUAGAGGGUUUCCGCCCUUUAGUGCUGCAGCAAACGCAUUAAGCACUCCGCCUGGGGAGUACGGUCGCAAGACUGAAACUCAAGGAAUUGAC